GACGAACGCUGGCGGCGUGCUUAACACAUGCAAGUCGAACGGUAAGGCCCUGCUUUUGUGGGGUGCUCGAGUGGCGAACGGGUGAGUAACACGUGAGUAACCUGCCCUUGACUUUGGGAUAACUUCAGGAAACUGGGGCUAAUACCGGAUAGGAGCUCCUGCUGCAUGGUGGGGGUUGGAAAGUUUCGGCGGUUGGGGAUGGACUCGCGGCUUAUCAGCUUGUUGGUGGGGUAGUGGCUUACCAAGGCUUUGACGGGUAGCCGGCCUGAGAGGGUGACCGGCCACAUUGGGACUGAGAUACGGCCCAGACUCCUACGGGAGGCAGCAGUGGGGAAUAUUGCACAAUGGGCGGAAGCCUGAUGCAGCAACGCCGCGUGCGGGAUGACGGCCUUCGGGUUGUAAACCGCUUUCGCCUGUGACGAGGCGUGAGUGACGGUAAUGGGUAAAGAAGCACCGGCUAACUACGUGCCAGCAGCCGCGGUGAUACGUAGGGUGCGAGCGUUGUCCGGAUUUAUUGGGCGUAAAGGGCUCGUAGGUGGUUGAUCGCGUCGGAAGUGUAAUCUUGGGGCUUAACCCUGAGCGUGCUUUCGAUACGGGUUGACUUGAGGAAGGUAGGGGAGAAUGGAAUUCCUGGUGGAGCGGUGGAAUGCGCAGAUAUCAGGAGGAACACCAGUGGCGAAGGCGGUUCUCUGGGCCUUUCCUGACGCUGAGGAGCGAAAGCGUGGGGAGCGAACAGGCUUAGAUACCCUGGUAGUCCACGCUGUAAACGGUGGGUACUAGGUGUGGGGUCCAUUCCACGGGUUCCGUGCCGUAGCUAACGCUUUAAGUACCCCGCCUGGGGAGUACGGCCGCAAGGCUAAAACUCAAAGGAAUUGACGGGGCCCCGCACAAGCGGCGGAGCAUGCGGAUUAAUUCGAUGCAACGCGUAGAACCUUACCUGGGUUUGACAUGGAUCGGGAGUGCUCAGAGAUGGGUGUGCCUCUUUUGGGGUCGGUUCACAGGUGGUGCAUGGCUGUCGUCAGCUCGUGUCGUGAGAUGUUGGGUUAAGUCCCGCAACGAGCGCAACCCUUGUUCACUGUUGCCAGCACGUUAUGGUGGGGACUCAGUGGAGACCGCCGGGGUCAACUCGGAGGAAGGUGGGGAUGACGUCAAGUCAUCAUGCCCCUUAUGUCCAGGGCUUCACGCAUGCUACAAUGGCUGGUACAGAGAGUGGCGAGCCUGUGAGGGUGAGCGAAUCUCGGAAAGCCGGUCUCAGUUCGGAUUGGGGUCUGCAACUCGACCUCAUGAAGUCGGAGUCGCUAGUAAUCGCAGAUCAGCAACGCUGCGGUGAAUACGUUCCCGGG
Molecule: ribosomal RNA, 1343 nt
Filed under: uncultured bacterium
Lineage: Bacteria
Description: 16S ribosomal RNA
Rfam family: Bacterial small subunit ribosomal RNA
Source: RNAcentral